UACGUAGGGGGCGAGCGUUGUCCGGAUUUAUUGGGCGUAAAGAGCUCGUAGGUGGUUCGGUAAGUCGGAUGUGAAAUCUCCAGGCUCAACCUGGAGGGGUCAUUCGAUACUGCCGUGACUAGAGGUCGGUAGGGGAGUGUGGAAUUCCUGGUGGAGCGGUGAAAUGCGCAGAUAUCAGGAGGAACACCCGUAGCGAAGGCGGCACUCUGGGCCGAUACUGACACUGAGGAGCGAAAGCGUGGGGAGCGAACAGG
RNAcentral lists this ribosomal RNA (254 nucleotides) under uncultured bacterium. Its description in RNAcentral is "partial 16S ribosomal RNA". It matches the Rfam family "Bacterial small subunit ribosomal RNA", at positions 524 to 776 of the family's 1533-position model. The record is from RNAcentral.